RNAcentral lists this ribosomal RNA (424 nucleotides) under uncultured bacterium. RNAcentral describes it as "partial 16S ribosomal RNA". It matches the Rfam family "Bacterial small subunit ribosomal RNA", at positions 360 to 776 of the family's 1533-position model. The record is from RNAcentral.
AAUAUGGGACAAUGGGGGCAACCGUGAUCCAUCCAUGCCGCGUGUGUGAAGAAGGUCUUCGGAUUGUAAAGCACUUUAAGUUGGGAGGAAGGGCUUUAGGUUAAUACCCUGAAGUUUUGACGAUACCAACCGAAUAAGCACCGGCUAACUACGUGCCAGCAGCCGCGGUAAUACAGAGGGUGCAAGCGUUAAUCGGAAUUACUGGGCGUAAAGCGCGCGUAGGUGGUUCAGUAAGAUGGGUGUGAAAUCCCCGGGCUUAACCUGGGAACUGCUUUCAUAACUGCUGAGCUAGAGUACGGUAGAGGGUAGUGGAAUUUCCUGUGUAGCGGUGAAAUGCGUAGAUAUAGGAAGGAACAUCAGUGGCGAAGGCGACUACCUGGACUGAUACUGACACUGAGGUGCGAAAGCGUGGGGAGCAAACAGG